This 240-nucleotide long non-coding RNA is filed under the name Pan troglodytes (chimpanzee). RNAcentral describes it as "long non-coding RNA NONPTRT012750". The record is from RNAcentral. Lineage: Eukaryota; Metazoa; Chordata; Mammalia; Primates; Hominidae.
AGCUGUUUAAAAAUUUUUUAGGCUAAGAAAAUAUCAGAGCUCAAAUAAAGUAAUAGUGAUGGAUGAGGAAAAGUCAGGGGGUUUAGUAACCUUUUUCAUCUUGGAGGGGGUAGGGAUGGGAAAAAACAGAACCAUCUAGAUUGGUUAAUUAAGUCAAAUGUCUUCCCACAAAAAUGAAAAACAGAUAAUAUACUUGAGUUAUGUCCCAGCACUUUGGGAAGCCGAGAUGGGCGGAUCACC